RNAcentral lists this unclassified non-coding RNA (287 nucleotides) under Hevea brasiliensis (rubber tree). The record is from RNAcentral. Lineage: Eukaryota; Viridiplantae; Streptophyta; Magnoliopsida; Malpighiales; Euphorbiaceae.
GAUGAACGAUCCAAAGUACGCCUAUCCCUACCCUGCUCAAGGCUACUACCAAGGUCCUCCGGUGAUGGCCCCGCCGCAGUAUGCAGCCCAGCCGCCGCCCAGAAGGGAGACCGGUUUUCUCGAAGGAUGUCUUGCUGCUUUAUGUUGUUGCUGUCUCAUUGACGAGUGUUGUUGUGAUCCAUCCGUUCUAUGUGUCUGGUGAAUCUCUCUUUUGUAUGGGCUCACGAAAUAUGGAUUCAUCAAUUGUUCCAAGCGGCUGGGUUCUGUAUUUUGCGGGCUUUUCUCAG